Molecule: ribosomal RNA, 460 nt
Filed under: uncultured bacterium
Lineage: Bacteria
Description: partial 16S ribosomal RNA
Rfam family: Bacterial small subunit ribosomal RNA
Source: RNAcentral
CCUACGGGUGGCAGCAGUGAGGAAUAUUGGUCAAUGGACGAGAGUCUGAACCAGCCAAGUAGCGUGAAGGAUGACUGCCCUAUGGGUUGUAAACUUCUUUUAUAUGGGAAUAAAACGUUCCACGUGUGGGAUUUUGUAUGUACCAUAUGAAUAAGGAUCGGCUAACUCCGUGCCAGCAGCCGCGGUAAUACGGAGGAUCCGAGCGUUAUCCGGAUUUAUUGGGUUUAAAGGGAGCGUAGGUGGAUUGUUAAGUCAGUUGUGAAAGUUUGCGGCUCAACCGUAAAAUUGCAGUUGAAACUGGCAGUCUUGAGUACAGUAGAGGUGGGCGGAAUUCGUGGUGUAGCGGUGAAAUGCUUAGAUAUCACGAAGAACUCCGAUUGCGAAGGCAGUUCACUGGACUGCAACGGACACUGAGGCUCGAAAGUGUGGGUAUCAAACAGGAUUAGAUACCCCUGUAGUC